Callorhinus ursinus (northern fur seal) is the source of this 133-nucleotide non-coding RNA. NCBI's taxonomy places the organism in Eukaryota, Metazoa, Chordata, Mammalia, Carnivora, Otariidae. The record is from RefSeq and is a predicted model, not a curated record.
CCACACUACAGUCCACAUGGAAGACACCAGCAUUAGUGGGGUGACAGACAUCACUGUGACAAAUGCCAGCCACCGAUGCACUCUGAACACCCGUCCCCAGAGAGAGCCAGCAGCGUGGCCAGGGUCUUCACCA